RNAcentral lists this microRNA precursor (99 nucleotides) under Paramuricea clavata. Lineage: Eukaryota; Metazoa; Cnidaria; Anthozoa; Malacalcyonacea; Plexauridae. The record is from RNAcentral.
AAAUCUGCUGUGUUGGUGUAAUGUACUCAGGUGAAUAAGAUGUUAACAUCUUAUUCACCUGAGUACAUUACACCAACACAGCAGAUUUCAUGAUUAUUA